UCCUGUACAAUCACGGGAGUUAAGCUGCAUUGAGCCUGGUCAGUACCUAGAUGGGUGACCGCUUGGGAAUACCAGGUAAUGUAA
This is a non-coding RNA of Acanthosepion pharaonis, 84 nucleotides long. The record is from the annotation of a GenBank genome assembly. Lineage: Eukaryota; Metazoa; Mollusca; Cephalopoda; Sepiida; Sepiidae.